This 642-nucleotide ribosomal RNA is filed under the name Prorocentrum micans. Its description in RNAcentral is "SSU rRNA". It matches the Rfam family "Eukaryotic small subunit ribosomal RNA", at positions 53 to 687 of the family's 1831-position model. The record is from RNAcentral. Lineage: Eukaryota; Dinophyceae; Prorocentrales; Prorocentraceae.
GAAUCUCUGAGAAGGAAACAUUCAGAUAAGUUUUAUACGGCGAAAUGCGAAUGGUAAUUAAAACAGUAUAGUUAUUUGAUGGUACUUUUUACUGGAUAACUGUGUAAUUGAGAGCUAAUACAUGCGCCCAAACCCGACUUCGAGGAAGGGUGUGUUUAUUAGAUACAGAACCAACCCAGGCUGUGCCUGGUUUUGGGGUGAUUAAUAAUAACCGAACGAAUCGCAUGGCAUGCCGCUGGCGAUGAAUGAUUCAAGUUUAUGACCUAUCCAACUUCCGACGGUAGGGUAUUCGGCCUACCGGGGCAAUGACGGGUAACGGAGAAUUAGGGUUCCGAUUACCGGAGAGGGAGCCCGAGAAACGGCUACCACAUAUAAGGAAGGCAGCAGGCGCGCAAAUUACCCAAACCGGACACAGGGAGGUAGAGACAAGAAAUAACAAUACAGGGCAUAUGCAGUUUUGAAAUUGGAAUGAGUAAAAUUUAAACCCUUUACGAGUACCAAUUGGAGGGCAAGUCUGGUGCCAGCAGCCGCGAUAAUUCCCAGCCCCAAUAGCGUAUAUUAAAGUUGAAGCGGUUAAAAAGCGCGUAGUUGGAUUUGUGCCGAGGACGACCGGUCCGCCCUGUGGGUGAGUAUGUGGCUGGG